CUUUUCAUGGCUUAGUGGUAUAACUCUCACCUUCCAUGCGGGAGACCCAGGUUCAACUCCUGGUUAACACA
RNAcentral lists this transfer RNA (71 nucleotides) under Loxodonta africana (African savanna elephant). It matches the Rfam family "tRNA". Rfam says of the family: Transfer RNA (tRNA) molecules are approximately 80 nucleotides in length. The record is from Rfam by way of RNAcentral. Lineage: Eukaryota; Metazoa; Chordata; Mammalia; Proboscidea; Elephantidae.